This 294-nucleotide long non-coding RNA is filed under the name Mytilus galloprovincialis (Mediterranean mussel). Lineage: Eukaryota; Metazoa; Mollusca; Bivalvia; Mytilida; Mytilidae. The record is from RNAcentral.
UAAAAACUACAUAAAAAGAUGGAAGCAGGAAUACAUAAAUUCGCUUAGGAAAUAUUACCGAUACACAGAUCGAAACACAUAGAACAUUAACGUCGGAAAUAUGUAGUUCAGAUUCAGGACUAUGUAUCUAGAGUAAAUUGGACUUUGGCGAUCAUUGACAAAUUUUUUUACGGCAAAGAUGGACUUACACGAUCAGCCAUAAUUCGAACAAAAACUGGUUUGAUAUCUAGACCAAUCAUCAAACUUGAAUUCUUUGGAACUUGAAAAUAUAGCAGCUCAGAGUGAGGAAAAGAC